AAUUUUAAUAUAACAUAUCCUUUAUCUUAUUAUUAAUAAUUAGUAACCUACUUAAAGUAAAUAACCGAGAAACUUUACAAAACAAAUAUUUUUAUUAAAUCGAGACACCUAUAUACCCAAGAACGGUGACCUAUAAACCUGCCAUUGGGGCUCAUGCAGAGAAGAACAGAACAGUAGAGGUUGCUUUAAAAAAAAUUUGAUCGAGACUACACCAACACGUCAAAUGGCUGAAUCAAACACUCCAUGUUACAACCUGCAAAUAAAUAAUAGUGCCACCUUGGUCCCACAACUGAUUCUGAUAAAGUGCUAAAACCUGAAGGUAGUACAAUAAAACAGUUGUUACAUGUUGCGGUGUAUAAUCAGACACAACAUCAUGCAAUUUUAUAUAGAUUGGUGACUUGAAGCAGUCUUAUUUUGUAUACAAAAUUAAAGUUAUAUAAGAAAUUGAAUAUGAAAUUGAAAUUGAACACCAUUGGCUGUACAGAAGUAAUUGAAAACCUUGAGGUAAAAGCAUUCAAAUAGAAUUACAAUGUUACUGAAUAGAAAAAGUCGCAAUCCAUGCAUUAUAUCAUCAGUUAGCCUUUCUAAAGAAAGGUAAAAAGAACAGAAGAUGAAAAUGCUGAAAUAAUGUCUGAAAAAGGAAUAACGUCAGAAAUAUUACAGAAAAUUAAAAACACUAAAAUGGUCGCCAGUGAUGUGUUUUCAUUAGAUUGGCUUAUGGAACUAUGGCAGAUAGGUAAAAAAAUAAGGAGUAUUAAUUGCAUACAAUACAUACAACAUACAAGGAAGCAUUAGGGUUCGAAACGGGAGGUUGUUGGUUUGUUGACUCUCUAUUUGUAGAUUAUGCAGACGUAGCAAAGGAAACCUAGCCUGGAGCUUCUACAGAAUGAGAGAAACCAAGCCCUAAUUAGUUAUUAUGUUUCCACCUCUCCAAUGGUUUUCCUUCUGAUUACAAUUUAACUUCCUUUUAAAAUCCUUCUUAAUAUCUUAAAUACAUGAAGUCCCCUUACCAUUUAAGGUUCAUAUAAUUUAGUCAAAUCUUUAAUAUUCUUCACCUAUCGCAGAUUCUUUCCCAAAAAAAGCAGUUGUCCCAAAAAGCGAGAACUAUUCUCCCUAAUAAGUUUGAAUGAAGUGACUAUCACUUAAAUGUUGCCAUAUAUGAAACACUGUUGUUCCUAGUUUUAAAAGUUGCGCUGUCCUGGUCUGGCAUUCUAUACUCUAGCCCCGAAUUUCUUACUCCCAAUAAUAUUGCUGACAAAAUAACACUACAUAUUUUUCCCAUACCAGGACAGUAAUGUUACAUGUGCACCAGCAUCAGUUUCAGGUUAGAUUAAAGAAGAGGAUUCUCAUUGUAUGAAAUUCAAAUGGUUCUGAAAGGUUUUAAAGGUUGCAUGCCAGGGAAAAUAGCACUCUUUCGCUUAUCUUUAAUUUAAAGUGAUAAGUUUAGUGAUAAAGCAAAAAAAGUAAUCUAUUUAAUUUAUCAUUAUUUUCCAUAUCGAGAAUUGUAGAAAACAAUCAGAAAUUAAAAUUUUCGAUUAAACUCUGCUUUGCAUUAUCUAGAAAAUUAGCUCUCAGCUCAGAGCCUGUCGUCAUUUAGGAAAUCUAAACAUAAUCCAAUUUAAGUAUAUAUUUUUGUUCCUUCAUUUGUACUGUUAAAUAAAUAUUAUUAUAAUUUAAAGUAUUUUUACUAACCUCAGAUCAGCCUGACCAAUGCAUUAUGCUAAUGAAGUUGUUGCUGAUUUUGAAGAAUUACUUUUUUUAUUGCUUUGUUAAUCUCUUGAUACCGAUCGAGUUGUUCCACCACAUUUCCCAUGAGGUAUAUUUGUAAAUUGCUGUGCUACAAGAGGUUGCAAUAAUUCAGCUUGAUGGCUAAUAUGUUCCUAAAUCUAUAAAGUCGAAAGCGUAGUCAGAAAGAAGAAAAAAAAAAGAUUAUAAAUUACUGAUUUAUAAUCUUUUUUUAAAUUAUAGCAUACCUAAAUUACUUUAGAGAUGUCUGUACUUUAGAGAUAUUCCUAUCUGUUACAAAAUAUAUGCUUUAGAUGUCCUAAAAUUAAUACGCGUCAUCAGUCCCUUUUUCAUUUACCUAUCACAAAAACCAAAUAUGCUCAAAAUACUUUUAUUUUCCGUGCCUGUGAUAAAUAUAAUAAAUGUUUUUCCAAUAUAGAUUUUACAAUGUGUACAAAAAAAAAAUUAAAAAAAGAAAUUAGUA
Long non-coding RNA from Vanessa atalanta (red admiral), 2209 nucleotides. RefSeq lists it as uncharacterized. The record is from RefSeq and is a predicted model, not a curated record. The transcript has 4 exons. Lineage: Eukaryota; Metazoa; Arthropoda; Insecta; Lepidoptera; Nymphalidae.